This 288-nucleotide unclassified non-coding RNA is filed under the name Hevea brasiliensis (rubber tree). The record is from RNAcentral. Lineage: Eukaryota; Viridiplantae; Streptophyta; Magnoliopsida; Malpighiales; Euphorbiaceae.
AGAAAUUGGUUGAGGAAAGUACAACAAAAAUUAAGAAACAAAGAAAAACUCCAAAUAAUCUAUAAGAUCAUACAACACAUAAAUAUAAAUCAUAAAGUGACUUGCCAAUAUGUGUUGCAUCUCGGUGAAUCACAUUGAAACCUUAUCAAUCAUAACUAAAACUAAAUGUUUUAAAUGCCAAGAAACAUUUUCCAUCAAUUAUUAUAACUUAGCCAUAAUAACCUUUCAUGAUAAAAGAUAAUUUUCCCAUAAAUUUUCUAUCACUUCCUGCACAUUAGAAUUUCAAUG